This 298-nucleotide long non-coding RNA is filed under the name Physcomitrium patens. RNAcentral's name for it is "long non-coding RNA (PPAT_LNC001127)". Lineage: Eukaryota; Viridiplantae; Streptophyta; Bryopsida; Funariales; Funariaceae. The record is from RNAcentral.
UUACCGCAUUCACUGCUUGUAUAUCUUAAAUAAAAUAUAAUGAUCCAUUUUUUUUAGGCACUAUAAACCAUCGACUACAAUAUGGUGUAAAAAAGGGCUCCAAAAUCUUCAUCUUCAUCUUUUCUUAUAAUAAUUCCACCAAAUUUGGUAAAUAAGCCCUUGGUAUUGGAAUUAGUCUUAGAUUCCAAAGUACAUGUGGUACAAUAAAAAUAACCAUAGGCGUUACAAUAUUUGGAUCCACACAUCCAAUUUCAUAAGAUUCAAAGGCAAAUGAUCUACCAUAUUUUGUCAACAUCUC